This 354-nucleotide ribosomal RNA is filed under the name uncultured bacterium. RNAcentral's name for it is "bacterial SSU rRNA". It matches the Rfam family "Bacterial small subunit ribosomal RNA", at positions 467 to 793 of the family's 1533-position model. The record is from RNAcentral.
AUUUGACGUUAGCGACAGAAGAAGCACCGGCUAACUCCGUGCCAGCACGCCGACGGUAAGUACGGGAGGGUGCGAGUACGUUAAGUACGGUAAUUACGUGGGACGUAAAGCGCAUGCGAGGUUGGUUUAGUUAAGUCAGAUGUAGAAACGGCCCCGGGGCUACCAACCCGUACGGAAUAGCUAUUUAGAAACGUGGCAGACUAGAGUACUGUAGGAGGGGGUAGAAUUUCAGGUGUAGCGGUGAAAUGCGUAGAGAUCUGAAGGAAUACCGGUGGCGAAGGCCGGCCCCCUGGACAGAUACUGACACUCAGAUGCGAAAGCGUGGGGAGCAAACAGGAUUAGAUACCCUGGUAG